RNAcentral lists this ribosomal RNA (982 nucleotides) under Microbacterium sp. RNAcentral's name for it is "bacterial SSU rRNA". It matches the Rfam family "Bacterial small subunit ribosomal RNA", at positions 61 to 1053 of the family's 1533-position model. The record is from RNAcentral. Lineage: Bacteria; Bacillati; Actinomycetota; Actinomycetes; Micrococcales; Microbacteriaceae.
GUCGACGGUGAACACGGAGCUUGCUCUGUGGGAUCAGUGGCGAACGGGUGAGUAACACGUGAGCAACCUGCCCCUGACUCUGGGAUAAGCGCUGGAAACGGCGUCUAAUACUGGAUACGAGUAGCGACCGCAUGGUCAGUUACUGGAAAGAUUUAUUGGUUGGGGAUGGGCUCGCGGCCUAUCAGCUUGUUGGUGAGGUAAUGGCUCACCAAGGCGUCGACGGGUAGCCGGCCUGAGAGGGUGACCGGCCACACUGGGACUGAGACACGGCCCAGACUCCUACGGGAGGCAGCAGUGGGGAAUAUUGCACAAUGGGCGCAAGCCUGAUGCAGCAACGCCGCGUGAGGGAUGACGGCCUUCGGGUUGUAAACCUCUUUUAGCAGGGAAGAAGCGAAAGUGACGGUACCUGCAGAAAAAGCGCCGGCUAACUACGUGCCAGCAGCCGCGGUAAUACGUAGGGCGCAAGCGUUAUCCGGAAUUAUUGGGCGUAAAGAGCUCGUAGGCGGUUUGUCGCGUCUGCUGUGAAAUCCGGAGGCUCAACCUCCGGCCUGCAGUGGGUACGGGCAGACUAGAGUGCGGUAGGGGAGAUUGGAAUUCCUGGUGUAGCGGUGGAAUGCGCAGAUAUCAGGAGGAACACCGAUGGCGAAGGCAGAUCUCUGGGCCGUAACUGACGCUGAGGAGCGAAAGGGUGGGGAGCAAACAGGCUUAGAUACCCUGGUAGUCCACCCCGUAAACGUUGGGAACUAGUUGUGGGGUCCAUUCCACGGAUUCCGUGACGCAGCUAACGCAUUAAGUUCCCCGCCUGGGGAGUACGGCCGCAAGGCUAAAACUCAAAGGAAUUGACGGGGACCCGCACAAGCGGCGGAGCAUGCGGAUUAAUUCGAUGCAACGCGAAGAACCUUACCAAGGCUUGACAUAUACGAGAACGGGCCAGAAAUGGUCAACUCUUUGGACACUCGUAAACAGGUGGUGCAUGGUUGUC